UCAUAGUCAUUAUCUGACCGUCCCUAUAGUCAACUGCUCUCUUCCUCUUGAGCCCUGCAACGGUGGUAUAGUGGACUAUGAGAGGUGGUUGAACGAGAUAGUGUCAGAGGGAACAGUGCUGACUUACCAGUGUGACAGUAGACUCUCACUGACUGGACCCAACAACGUCACUUGCACUAAUGCUGGAGUCUGGAGCACAGAGCCUGAGGCAAUCAUUUGUGUACUUAUAACUGAAGUUUCUACUGUCGCUCCUUUGUUCUCCACUUCUGCAACUGUCGCUAUCAGUGUGGUCAUCACUUUCAUUGUCACUCUAGUCAUUGGAUUCCUCACUGGGCUCCUAGUGAUGCAUGUUUUCUCUCGUAAGAAGACGGUGUACUUCCCGGCAACUGAAGGACAAGCUAACGUAGGACCCACUAUACACUAGCUGGUCCUGUUUAUGAAGAGGUGUCACCCACAGAGGAGAUUGAACUGAACACUAACCAGGCGUAUGGACCAGUAGGACUGUGAACCUCGUUCACUCUUUAUUUUAAUAUUCAAUAGCAAUAAAACUUUCAUUAUUAUACCGUGGUUUUUCUGACUUCCUCAAUCGAGUAAUAAAAUCUUUUGAACCAAA
Molecule: long non-coding RNA, 613 nt
Organism: Halichondria panicea
Lineage: Eukaryota; Metazoa; Porifera; Demospongiae; Suberitida; Halichondriidae
Exons: 2
Source: RefSeq, a predicted model, not a curated record